CAAGAACAGACUUCUCACCAGGUCAGGAGCUACAGAGAUGGAGUGAUGGUCACAAAGGUCUGCCUGAAGGAAAUGGGUAGUGACAAAAGGGACAGGUUUGCGGCCUCCAAAGCCUGUUGCAAAGCUCAGGAGCAGAGUAUUCUUUAUCAGAACCCUGUAGUGAUAAAAUGGUCAUCUUUGGGUCUAAAAUACCUACAACCACUUGUAUGUUCUACUCAGAAGUAUCCUGUCACUGGAGUUUGUAAGAUUGUACUGCUGCCAAGGCCCAAAGGAGAACUGAGAGAUUAAGGGGGAAGGAAGCUGUUCUAUCUAGAAGGAGAGGGAUUUGAGCUCCCUGCAGACUGUGCAUAUGCACAACUUUGCACUCAACACAGAGCUAAAAAUUAAACUGGGCCAAGCCAUUUCCAGGAUAUAUCCCUAAAGCCCUAUGUUGAAAAGGAGGUGCUGAUUGCACUUUAAAUCAAAGGUCUUCUGGGGCAGAUCAUCUUGGGAGCCAAGGACGGCUUCAAGUCCCAGGCUGCCCUGAGCUGAAAGCAAGGGAACACACUGGGCUGGGAGUAUCCAUGGUGAAAUCACCAUGUGCCUUGAGCAGCUGACAGGCACACAGCCCUGUGAGCCUGGAGCUGUUGGAGCUGCACUCCAGGAGCCAGCUCUAGCACCAGGGCUUGGCUGCUGGUCUGAACCCAGGGCAGAAAGGACACACAGAGUCCACGUUGGGUGUGAGGACAAAACACCAUCCCCUGGAAAACUUAGGAGAUGCUCGUGCUGCAAGUCCAUGCCUGCAGUUGAUGGUCCCCAUCAAGCCCAGCACAGAGGAGGCCGUGGUCAUACCUGCAUCAAGAGGAAAUGUGAAGGAAACACAGUAUCCACACCUCAUUCCAGAGAGGGAUAAACACAUAUGGUUUGUUUGAAACUGCAACACCAGGUUUAAGGCAAAUGUAACAACAUUAUGCAAUCCUCUUCAAAUACUCUUCUUAUUGCUAUUAAACUUUAUUAAUAUAAGAAUAUAAGUGCUUCAAGGCACUCCUUUUUAGACUUCAAUAAAGUCCUCUUGUAUUAACA
RNAcentral lists this long non-coding RNA (1062 nucleotides) under Chloebia gouldiae (Gouldian finch). Its description in RNAcentral is "Erythrura gouldiae (Gouldian finch) lncRNA (ENSEGOG00005002673.1)". The record is from RNAcentral. Lineage: Eukaryota; Metazoa; Chordata; Aves; Passeriformes; Passeridae.